UCUUCUUCUUUUCCAUACCGUCCGUCCCCCUUUUUUCGUGAAAACCCUAAUUGCCGAAACCAGCAUCCGCUUUUCGUCCAAACCCUACUGCCGCCGCACCCUUCGAGCCGCUCAGUGCCACCUCCCAGCUGAUCUCCUCCGCGCGUCUCGCCGAACGAUUUCGUCUGCGAGCAACGCGUGCCACCAGCAGCCCCAAUUGCGCGAUCUCUCCCUUCUCAGUCGCGUGUCCGCGCCUCUCCUGGUCGUCGACUCUUCGCGUCGGAGUUUUGCACGCCUCUGCUCACAUCGCUCGGUCUUCGUCGACUCUCAGCCGUUCGCGGGUUUUAGAUCUAAGGUCGUGCGCGUCCUUCGUCAUUCGUGGGUUUGGUACCAUUGCCAGAUCUGUCCAGUCGUCCGCCGUCGCUUCUUUGUCCGACACCGCCCAACCCUAUCGCCGUCGCGGUUGCCGUCAGAUCUGUUUUGGAAGUGAGAUUCAGAAGAUUUUGGGGACGUUGCUCAUCGAGAAAGAGACUGAUUUUCGACAGGAAUUGGUAAGUUUGGGUGAGUAGUUGGGCUGGAUGUCUAUUUGGUUAAGGGUACUUAUGAAAAAUUAAGUUACUUUGGGACUAAAAUUAUGUUCAGAUUGGCCUUUUGGGUUUGAGUUUUAAAAUCUGCUAAGAGGAGAUUUUGGAGUCGAAAUCUUGCGAGUUUCGUUUGGGGGACUUAAUUCAAGAUUUAUUUUGUUGGAGAUCAUUAGCUUGGAUUAAUAUCUGAAUUUGACUUCGAGUUAAGUAAUCUUACUAUUGGAACUGUCCACGGGCCAGACACUUGAUGGAUGAAUGUUAUGGUAGAAUGACAACAUGAUGAACUGAGAGUUUAGUAGAACCGAUGUAUGUUCUUGCUUGAGGAUUUGAAAGAUGUAUUUAUGCACAUAGAUACUUGAAUGCUAGCAUUGUUGACUCGUAGGUAUGUAUGAUAUUAAAUGCUCAAAAGGAUGCGAUACUACUCCUAUUUAUGCGUCAAUUAGGAAUAUUCAUGUAGUAUGCUCUACGUUGUCACAAGUUUCCUUACGAUGGAGCCAAGUGUAAUUCCACCGCAAGUUUCUCGGUAUGAUCCGAGAUCGAACACGGGGAAAUGGUUUUCAGUUAUUGCGGUAUGUUCAUGGUAUAUGCGACCAAGUUUCCAAUUCUUUAUAAAGAAGUUUGUACAGGUAUGUAAAUUGCGGUAAAAUAAAGGAAAGCAGUAAAGAUGAGAUAAA
This is a non-coding RNA of Benincasa hispida (wax gourd), 1237 nucleotides long. The record is from RefSeq and is a predicted model, not a curated record. NCBI's taxonomy places the organism in Eukaryota, Viridiplantae, Streptophyta, Magnoliopsida, Cucurbitales, Cucurbitaceae.